Long non-coding RNA from Haliotis rubra (blacklip abalone), 1318 nucleotides. RefSeq lists it as uncharacterized. The record is from RefSeq and is a predicted model, not a curated record. Lineage: Eukaryota; Metazoa; Mollusca; Gastropoda; Lepetellida; Haliotidae. The transcript is spliced from 2 exons.
CUCUGAAUUGUUUACGUUUAAGGACGCAUGCUGAACGAUCUUCCCAGAGGAAGCACAUUACGCGUGAUUUCUCCCGGAAAAAGUCACAGUUAUAAGAAGUUUCAAGCACAAACUGUUUAAGGUGGCAUGAAAGUGAAUGAAAAUGGAAAAUGACCAGGUGAAGCAGGAACAACGUACAUUCCUCCGAGAACGAUUCCUGCGAAUGCUUGGUGCUAUCACAGGGAUGAAGGCAGAAGUAACCAUGGUUCAAAAGUCCCAAGUUUCAGCCACCAUAGGUCCAUCAGACAUCGAGUUUGAGAACAUGCAGGUGUCAGAUCUAUACACUCAUCUAGGUUUGAUUCCAGCUGCUGUACUCAGAACAUCGGACGUGGUAUCGAUCAGGAUGGAAAACUACCUCCCGCAUGGCUCUAGCUGAAGUAAUCCGUUCCUGAUGACAUAAUAGAAGCUGCUAAUUUUAUAAAACAUCCUUCACUUUCUUUUGAGGCUGAGUGGUUUAUGUUUUGUUUUGUGGAUGUUUUAACAUGGAAUUUGAAGUUCCACAAUUAGGAAGACAUGCUGUUGAUUUAAAUGUGUUUAAUGUAAUAGGCUUUUUGUGAACCUUUAUCAUGUGUAUUUCAAAUUUUGCCAGGAAAUUAACAUGAAACAAACCUUGACAACCUUUUGGCAUCCUGCUUUCUGUAAUAUGUGUUAUGGAACAUGUUAAAAAAUAUAUAUUGUCUGACCUUGACAUCAGAUUCCAAACUUGGUCAAUUUCUGUCUAAUACCUGCUUGUACAGAUUGUUUGAUGUGUGAUUCUGUUGAUGAGUGGAUGAAGCACGAGUGAUGAAGUUCUGCAAAUAGUUCUCAUCACUUCCAUUGUCAGUGAGAACAUUUCACGUUUUAUGAUGUGGAUAAUACCUGACUGUUGGAUGAUACAGAAUAUCCUUCUGAAACAUUGAAUCAUUAGUUUGGCGAGAUCUUUCCUCUUGUGUGGAAUCCUAAUGCAUCUGAAACAUCUUAUUUUGUGACAACUUUUAUGUAUGAUGUUUUGAAUUUAUGAUUUGUCAAUCAUUUUUAAUGUAUGUCUUUCCUUUUCUUUUAUAUGAUUUCAAGAAUGGUGAAGUGCAGGGCAUUUAGUAUUUGCACUAAUUUUCUGCAACUUGAUGUAUUUGACUUUUACCGUUCAGAGUUUAUCUGAAGUUUUAUUAAGUUAGAGCCUUUGACAGAAAAUGAUGAAGCUUUAUUACAUGUUCACCAAAACUGUUUCAAUAUAUUCUGACAUUUUCCACAUGUCUUAUAAAGAUUCCUGAAUAAAAGAGUCAUCUUUUUGUAUUUUAUA